This 301-nucleotide ribosomal RNA is filed under the name uncultured bacterium. RNAcentral describes it as "partial 16S ribosomal RNA". It matches the Rfam family "Bacterial small subunit ribosomal RNA", at positions 509 to 809 of the family's 1533-position model. The record is from RNAcentral.
CAGUAGCCACGGUAACACCGAGGAUGCAAGCGUUAUCCGGAAUGAUUGGGCGUAAAGCGUCUGUAGGUGGCUUUUCAAGUCCGCCGUCAAAUCCCAGGGCUCAACCCUGGACAGGCGGUGGAAACUACCAAGUUGGAGUACGGUAGGGGCAGAGGGAAUUUCCGGUGGAGCGGUGAAAUGCGUUGAGAUCGGAAAGAACACCGACGGCGAAAGCACUCUGCUGGGCCGACGUUGUCACUGAGAGACGAACGCUAGGGGAGAAAAUGGGAUUAGAUACCCCCGUAGUCCCUGUCUCUUAUAA